AUUUUUGACAAUUGGGGAAACCCUGAUCCAGCCAUCCCGCGUGUAUGAUGAAGGCCUUCGGGUUGUAAAGUACUUUUGGCAGAUAAGAAAAGGUAUCCCCUAAUACGUGUUACUGCUGACGGUAUCUGCAGAAUAAGCACCUGCUAACUACGUGCCAGCAGCCGCGGUAAUACGUAUGGUGCAAGCGUUAAUCGGAAUUACUGGGCGUAAAGCGUGUGUAGGCGGUUAGGAAAGAAAGAUGUGAAAUACCAGGGCUCAACCUUGGAACUGCAUUUUUAACUGCCGAGCUAGAGUAUGUCAGAGGGAGGUAGAAUUACACGUGUAGCAGUGAAAUGCGUAGAUAUGUGGAGGAAUAACGAUGGCGAAGGCAGCCCCCUGGGAUAAUACUGACGCUCAGACACGAAAGCGUGGGGAGCAAACAGG
RNAcentral lists this ribosomal RNA (423 nucleotides) under uncultured bacterium. RNAcentral's name for it is "partial 16S ribosomal RNA". It matches the Rfam family "Bacterial small subunit ribosomal RNA", at positions 361 to 776 of the family's 1533-position model. The record is from RNAcentral.